RNAcentral lists this long non-coding RNA (410 nucleotides) under Olea europaea subsp. europaea. The record is from RNAcentral. Lineage: Eukaryota; Viridiplantae; Streptophyta; Magnoliopsida; Lamiales; Oleaceae.
UAAAUCCAAGUGACCGUGAUGACACAAUUGGGUCCCACCCCAGCAAGCAAUAAUGGACUACUGUCUUCCACGUAGACAAUUUUCUUUCAACGCAAAUAAACCAUGUAAUUCUACAAAACAGAAAUUGUAAAAAUGGUUUAAUCGUCAUUUGUUUACAUUAAUUCAGAAGAAACCCUCUCAUUUUUUUCCACCGAAAGUCCAAGAUUUGUGCAAUUCUCACCAAUAAGAGGCAAUGAAAGUUUCAAGUCUUGCUUACUUUGGAUACCAAACGUCAUCCAAAAGCUUAUGUUGUUCUAAAAUUGCAUACAAUUAUUUAUUAAAAUUUAGCCUCCAAGGGUACCUUGAUACCAUAUUUGAUAUCUGAACUAGAACGAUUCACAAACUUUUAAUUUAUUCUCGUCUAAUUUAAA